CUGCGUGAAGUCGGAAUCGCUAGUAAUCGCGGAUCAGCAUGCCGCGGUGAAUACGUUCCCGGGCCUUGUACACACCGCCCGUCACACCAUGAGAGUCGGGAACACCCGAAGUCCGUAGCCUAACCGUAAGGAGGGCGCCGCCGAAGGUGGGAUUGAUGACUGGGGUGAAGUCGUAACAAGGUAAC
Molecule: ribosomal RNA, 185 nt
Filed under: uncultured bacterium
Lineage: Bacteria
Description: partial 16S ribosomal RNA
Rfam family: Bacterial small subunit ribosomal RNA
Source: RNAcentral